This 274-nucleotide ribosomal RNA is filed under the name uncultured bacterium. RNAcentral's name for it is "partial 16S ribosomal RNA". It matches the Rfam family "Bacterial small subunit ribosomal RNA", at positions 523 to 796 of the family's 1533-position model. The record is from RNAcentral.
AUACGGAGGGUGCAAGCGUUAAUCGGAAUUACUGGGCGUAAAGCGCGCGUAGGCGGUUAUUUAAGUCGGAUGUGAAAGCCCCGGGCUCAACCUGGGAAUUGCAUUCGAUACUGGGUAACUAGAGUAUGAGAGAGGGAGGUAGAAUUCCAUGUGUAGCGGUGAAAUGCGUAGAUAUGUGGAGGAAUACCAGUGGCGAAGGCGGCCUCCUGGCUCAAUACUGACGCUGAGGUGCGAAAGCGUGGGGAGCAAACAGGAUUAGAAACCCCAGUAGUCC